Molecule: long non-coding RNA, 5130 nt
Organism: Trifolium pratense (red clover)
Lineage: Eukaryota; Viridiplantae; Streptophyta; Magnoliopsida; Fabales; Fabaceae
Exons: 2
Source: RefSeq, a predicted model, not a curated record
AGGCAAGUGUGUCCUUUACCAUAAUACCCUUCUUAAUUUCUCUCACAUUAGAUCCUAUAUUUGCUUCUCUUUUUUUCUUUAAUUUUUUUCUCAGGUUCAAAUCCAAUCUUCCUUUGAUGCUUCGAUCUUUCUCCGCCAACAACAAUCACCGCCUCCCUCUCAUCUACUGUCGGAGGUCAGCACCGCCGCUGGAACAUGGUGGUUCGUCUCUCGGCCGCUCCACCAUCUUCAGAUCAAGUCUACCGUCAUCGAUCUGAACUUUGAACCACUUCAAAGAACCCCUACGUCCCUCUCAUCCGAUGCGGCAUUUCUCCACUAUGGGAUUGGGGAUAAGAGUACUAAAGGAGCUGCGACGUUGAACCUGAGAAGAGUUGGCUCCAUACUGUGAUGCAUGAUUUAAGAGUUGGCUCCAUUGUAAGUGAAGUAAACUCCCUGAUUUGUCGAUUUGGCAUUUUCAUUGAUGACUUUCUUAUGUGAUUUUCUUUGAUAUUUUUCUGCCCUUUAAGACUUUUGUAGUUUACCCUUGAAUUUUUGGUUAUAUUGUGUAGAUAUCUGCGAGAAUCCUUUUCUUGGGUUAUAUUGGUUAUAUUAUUCUUGGCUGUAUUAGUUUGGACUAGUCUGGUAUUUACUGAAUCAGUUGAAGGGAGCAUGUUUUACUGCAUCAUUUUUCCUAUUUAAUUUACUAAUAUGUAUGAAAUUUAAUGAAAUAGAUCCACUUGGAGGAUUCCUAUUAAGUGAGGCAGGGAAUAAACAGAAGCCGGUGCACGUUAUGAGUGUAGGUGCUCUAUAGAUCUUAAAUCCCGUUCUUAAAACGGCAAAUUACAUAAGCCUAUGAUGAGUCUUCAUCCGUCGCUAUUUUUAGAGUCUUUUUAAUUAAGUUUUUAAUAUCAUUUUAUUAGUUUAAUGUUUAAUUUAGAGUCAUUUUAAAUAAAUUGCAAUUUUUGGUUUAUUGUGUCAAUUAGAUGUUUUUCUCUAUUAAAAUAAUAUUUUGUGUAGUUUUUAUUUUCUUGGUUCAACUAAACACAUUUAUGCUUGAGAACAAAUAUUAUUAAUAGGUGUUUUAGUGUAAUGGGUUGGUGUGAAUAGAAAACAAACCAAUGAAUGCCCAAGAAAAUGCAACAUGGUCUUAUGUUAAAGUGGCCCAAGAAGAUACAGGAGGAUCCAUUGCCUAUUGCAUAUAGGAAAAGCUGCGCAACGAGAGAAAGGGGAACACGCAGCAAAGCGGAUCACGCAUUAUAGAAGAAGAAACCAGGGAUUCCACACGCACUACAGGACGAGGAAAGGAUUGAAGCACAUCACAUACAGCAAGGACGGAAACGGAAGAGAAAUUGAAGAAGCAAAGGAAGGCAACGUGAAGAGCAAAGCAAUCCAUCUUGGGUUUAUUCCUUUUCAUCAUGCUUGUUUCUUUAAAUAUUAUGUCCAGCUAAAUUUCCAUGAUUGGUCCUUAGGGGAUUUUGAUUUCUAUUUCUCUUGAACGAUGUGAUUCUCAUUUGAAUUGAUAUAUGAAUUACGAAGUUAGUUUUUUUUUAUUAUUCCUUAUGCUUAAUGCUUUAUAUGAAUUAGCUACUUAUAUGAUGAAUUCAAUGAUUUAUUUUACUAUGACGAUAGGAAUGAAUCAUCAAUCUAGGAAUAAUUGAUCGAUUAACUUUCACUUAAGACAUUUCGGAUUGUUAAUUGAGAUUUUAUAGAUUAAAGUUUGUAAUCCUCAAUUGAUCAUAGAUUACCUAAGACAUUAGGAAUCGAUGAUCAAGGGAGAGGAUUAUGUUACCAAGACAUUGGGCAUAAUCAUUUUUGAUUUAAUCUAAUCGUGAAACUAAAUUGAGUAAAUUUGUAAUCAUACAUGAAAUUACCAAGAGAAGUAGUAAUUAGAUGAACCAAAAGGAUCAAUCACCUUUCUUCCAUUGAUUUGAAUCCCAAGUUAUUUCUAAGUUUAUGAUAAAAAUUCAAACCAAGUUAAACUCCCCCCCUUUGCAUUUUAAUUAUUAAUCCUAAAUUAAUUUAAUUGUUUUGUCGAGAUUGAAACAAUCCCUGCGGAUACGAACUUUAUAAAUUUUAUUACUUGACGACUAUUUAGUACACUUGCUAAAUCUCUAUCAAGUUUUUGGCGCCGUUGCCGGGGAUUGUUGAUUAAUUUUGACAUGCCAAUUUAUUUUACUUAGGAUUUUUUUUCCUGUUAUUUUCAUUUUAUUUUUGUAUAUAUGCAAUUUUCUCUUUAUGUCUUCUUUAGUUUAUUUUGCUACUAAAAACUUUCUCUAAGUUUUGUAGCAAUGAAAUGGAUUGAUAAUAGAUUGGCUGACUCCGAAGAAAUAGCUAUCAUUUGUUAUCAACUAUGUUUACUAUCUUAUGAGCAAGAGAGGUUGGAUGCAAAGAUUUCGAGAUUGAAGGCGAGAAGUGAUUUUUGUGGAGCGAAUCAUCACAAUGACUAUUGUGAGGAGUAUUGUUUGAAAGAAAAAGAGCGCGAAGUGAUCAACAUUGAUUACAACUUUGAACUCAAAAAGAUUUUGGAUGAAUUUUUGAGGUCAAAUCAAGGUUCAUUUGACGGAUUUGAAGUUGAGUGUGGUAAUCUUGUUGAAAAAGCAAAUGAGUGUGAGAAGUUGGUUGAGAUGGAGAUUAAACAUCAUGCUAUUGGAGAAGAAGAAAAAUUGAAAAACAAGAAGAAUGGCAUGAGAAGAGUGAAUCAUGUUGAUCUCUACGUGGCAUUUGAGUCUCAACCAAUGGAAUUUAAAGAGAGAAAUCAGUUGCAUAAAAAUUUUCAUUCUUCUCUAAGGUGGGAAAGUGCAAAUUCAAAGAGCUUAGUUGUUGGAAGAUGGGAACAGUUGCUUCUCUAUGCUAAGUUCGUGGAAUUCUUAACUAAUAAGCGGAAAAAGAAGGAUGAUGUGUUCUUUCUCUCAUUUAGGCCUCCCUAACAGUGGUUGAGGUGUCAAGCUAAUGACGUUAAAAAAGCGCUUCUUGGGAGGCAACCCAUGAUAGGUAACUCGGUCUUUAAUUUUCUUUUAAUUUCUGCAUUUUAUUAAGUAAUAAAAACCAUUGUUGAAUGAAUUUGUCACUACUCUAUCCUUAUCUGUUUGAGUUAAUAUUUUAUGUGUUACUUGAUUUUGAGCAUUUAACUAGAAUGUGCUUGUUAGUUUGUUCUCCAUCUAAGUAGUAACUGUCAACUUACAUAUCGAUUGCUCUUUGGUUAUAUUAGUUUGCUGAUGAUUUUUGAGGAAAUGAUUUUUGUUUGUUUAGCAUGAUUCCUAAUGGCUCUAAUUCUUCUCUGUUAUCCUAACUGUGAGGUCUUGAGCCUAAACACUUGAAUUUCUUUCUUGACUAUGUGAGUUCAACGUCUCUCCUAUUCUCGAGAACUUGCUUGAAUUCUCUUGAUUGAUUGAUUGCGAUGAAUAAUGCACCGAGGCACGUUUUUGUGAGCUUGAGCAUUUGUAGCCUACCCUUGAAUAUUAUAAUCCCUUGCUAGCCCCUUUGAGCCUUAUUGAAUGAAAAAUGUUUUGAUCUUGCUUCUUUUUGAAAACCACAUAAUUUUUACAAAAAAAAAAAAAGAUUUUCUUGAAGUUGAUCACCUAACUUGUGAUUUGAGCACAAUGCUCAUCAUUAAGUUUGGGGUUGCUCUUGGGAUUUGCAACCUAUUAAGUUUGGGGUGGGGUACUAGAGAACUAAAAGAAAAAUAUUUUGAAAAAGUUUGUGAAAAAAAAAAAAUGAAGAGAAUGUCCCUCAUGAAAAGAAAGGAAAUGGUGAAAGAAAUGAAAAAUAAAUAAAUAAAUAAAGAGAAUGCAAAAUGCAUAACACCAUGUUUGGAAAAAAAAUGAAUAAAAAAAAAUUGUCGAGGGACUUCUUUGUGAAAAAAAAUGUGAGCAUGGAAUGAGUUCACACAUUGUGAAUUCAUUUGCAUGAGAAAAAAAAAAUUUGUGAAAACUAAGUUCUCUAGUAUGAAUGUGAUGAUUUUUGGGAGAUCAAUUGAUUUGUCCACUUUUGUUUGAAAUAUGUGAUCUUAUAAGCUUCAAGUUUUUCUACCUAGUUUCCCAAAAAUAUCUACCCUUCAAUAAACCUAAGCCACGCUAUAACCCGAAAAGUCCUCGAAAGGUGCAUAUUCAUUGUAUGUCGAUCGAUUUUUAGAGUCCUUGCAAGCCUAUGGUAGAAAGGUGUAGAUUGUGUUGAUUGAGUGUAUGUCCGUAAACACUUGAGAGAAUUUUGGUGAGAUUGUGUGAAGAGAGAAUUGAGCUUGAUGGAUGAAUGUUGGAUGAAUUGUUUUGAAUUUCCGAUUGGUUGUUAGUAGAUGAAAGUGACCUUGAGCAUGAUAAUUUUUGUAAAAUGACAUGUUUUGUUCUUAUUGAUUACGGAGAUAGAUUAACAUGAAUGUUUGGUUGGGUGUUUGAGGUUGAGUUGCACUCUUUUGAAAGCAUUGUUCCUUGAGGACAAGCAACAGAUUAAGUUUGGGGUUGUGAUGAGUCUUCAUCCGUCGCUAUUUUUAGAGUCUUUUUAAUUAAGUUUUUAAUAUCAUUUUAUUAGUUUAAUGUUUAAUUUAGAGUCAUUUUAAAUAAAUUGCAAUUUUUGGUUUAUUGUGUCAAUUAGAUGUUUUUCUCUAUUAAAAUAAUAUUUUGUGUAGUUUUUAUUUUCUUGGUUCAACUAAACACAUUUAUGCUUGAGAACAAAUAUUAUUAAUAGGUGUUUUAGUGUAAUGGGUUGGUGUGAAUAGAAAACAAACCAAUGAAUGCCCAAGAAAAUGCAACAUGGUCUUAUGUUAAAGUGGCCCAAGAAGAUACAGGAGGAUCCAUUGCCUAUUGCAUAUAGGAAAAGCUGCGCAACGAGAGAAAGGGGAACACGCAGCAAAGCGGAUCACGCAUUAUAGAAGAAGAAACCAGGGAUUCCACACGCACUACAGGACGAGGAAAGGAUUGAAGCACAUCACAUACAGCAAGGACGGAAACGGAAGAGAAAUUGAAGAAGCAAAGGAAGGCAACGUGAAGAGCAAAGCAAUCCAUCUUGGGUUUAUUCCUUUUCAUCAUGCUUGUUUCUUUAAAUAUUAUGUCCAGCUAAAUUUCCAUGAUUGGUCCUUAGGGGAUUUUGAUUUCUAUUUCUCUUGAACGAUGUGAUUCUCAUUUGAAUUGAUAUAUGAAUUACGAAGUUAGUUUUUUU